This 301-nucleotide ribosomal RNA is filed under the name uncultured bacterium. RNAcentral's name for it is "partial 16S ribosomal RNA". It matches the Rfam family "Bacterial small subunit ribosomal RNA", at positions 509 to 807 of the family's 1533-position model. The record is from RNAcentral.
CAGUAGCCGCGGUAAUACGAAGGGGGCUAGCGUUGUUCGGAUUUACUGGGCGUAAAGGGCGCGUAGGCGGACUGGUAAGUCAGGGGUGAAAUCCCAAGGCUCAACCUUGGAACUGCCUUUGAUACUGUUUGUCUUGAGUUCGAGAGAGGUAAGUGGAACUGCGAGUGUAGGGGUGAAAUUCGUAGAUAUUCGCAAGAACACCAGUGGCGAAGGCGGCUUACUGGCUCGAAACUGACGCUGAGGCGCGAAAGCGUGGGGAGCAAACAGGAUUAGAUACCCCCGUAGUCCCUGUCUCUUAUAC